GAAACAAACAGAACUUUCACACCAUAGCCUGGCCAGUCAUGAAACUGGUUUUCAAAACUUCUCUAAUGGGCAGCGCACCCUGCUGCGCUCUUCCAACUGCCCUGGUGUCUGGCUGCUCUAAAUUGGCUGC
Long non-coding RNA from Gopherus evgoodei (Goodes thornscrub tortoise), 130 nucleotides. RefSeq lists it as uncharacterized. Lineage: Eukaryota; Metazoa; Chordata; Testudines; Testudinidae. The record is from RefSeq and is a predicted model, not a curated record. The transcript has 3 exons.